This 1008-nucleotide ribosomal RNA is filed under the name uncultured bacterium. RNAcentral describes it as "bacterial SSU rRNA". It matches the Rfam family "Bacterial small subunit ribosomal RNA", at positions 27 to 1061 of the family's 1533-position model. The record is from RNAcentral.
GGAUGAACGCUGGCGACGUGCUUAAUACAUGCAAGUCGAACGUGAAGGUGGAUUUCGGUUCACCUGAAAGUGGCGGACGGGUGAGUAACACGUAGCUGACCGACCCUGUAGUGGGGGAUAACCUGCCGAAAGGCGGGCUAAUACCGCAUGGACUCUGGGGGAUUAGAAGCCCAAGAGGAAAGCAUUCGUGCCACAGGCCGGGGCUGCGGCCCAUCAGCUAGUUGGUAGGGUAAAAGCCUACCAAGGCGAUGACGGGUAGGGGACCUGAGAGGGUGGCCCCCCACACUGGGACUGAGACACGGCCCAGACUCCUACGGGAGGCAGCAGUAAGGAAUAUUGGUCAAUGGGCGCAAGCCUGAACCAGCAACGCCGCGUGGAGGAAGAAGGGUUUCGGCUCGUAAACUCCUUUUGUCAGGGACGAGCAAGGGCGGUACCUGACGAAUAAGUCUCGGCUAACUACGUGCCAGCAGCCGCGGUAAAACGUAGGAGACGAGCGUUAUCCGGAUUUACUGGGCGUAAAGCGCGUGCAGGCGGUUUUUUAAGUCACUUGUGAAAGCGCCCGGCUCAACUGGGCGAGGCCGUGUGAGACUGAAAAACUGGAGAGAGGUAGAGGCGAAUGGAAUUCCGGGUGGAGUGGUGAAAUGCGUAGAGAUCCGGAGGAACACCAGUGGCGAAGGCGAUUCGCUGGGCCUACUCUGACGCUCAGACGCGACAGCAUGGGGAGCGAACGGGAUUAGAAACCCCGGUAGUCCAUGCCGUAAACGAUGCAUACUAAGUGUCUGCCUAUAAAAGGGUGGGUGCUGGAGCUAACGCGCUAAGUAUGCCGCCUGGGGAGUACGGCCGCAAGGCUAAAACUCAAAGGAAUUGACGGGGCCCGCACAAGCAGCGGAGCGUGUGGUUUAAUUCGAGGCUACGCGAAGAACCUUACCUAGGCUUGACAUACAGAUGGUAGUGAGUGAAAGCAAACGACUUCGGAGUCUGUACAGUGCUGCAUGCUGUCGUCAGCUC